Molecule: transfer RNA, 72 nt
Filed under: Actinomycetes bacterium
Lineage: Bacteria; Bacillati; Actinomycetota; Actinomycetes
Also listed under: 1 other name
Description: Actinobacteria bacterium tRNA-Val
Rfam family: tRNA
About the family: Transfer RNA (tRNA) molecules are approximately 80 nucleotides in length. Their secondary structure includes four short double-helical elements and three loops (D, anti-codon, and T loops).
Source: RNAcentral
GGGCACGUAGCUCAGUGGGAGUGCGCUCGCUUCACACGCGAGAGGUCCCGGGUUCGAAACCAGGCGCGCCCA